Molecule: unclassified non-coding RNA, 334 nt
Filed under: soil metagenome
Description: partial contains 5.8S ribosomal RNA, internal transcribed spacer 2, and large subunit ribosomal RNA
Rfam family: 5.8S ribosomal RNA (bases 1-120)
Source: RNAcentral
GAUGAAGAACGUAGCGAAAUGCGAUAAGUAAUGUGAAUUGCAGAAUUCAGUGAAUCAUCGAAUCUUUGAACGCACAUUGCGCCCCCCAGUAUUCUGGCGGGCAUGCCUGUUCGAGCGUCAUUUCAACCAUCAAGCCCUGCUUGUGUUGGGGUCCUGCGGCUGCCCGCAGGCCCUGAAAACCAGUGGCGGGCUCACUAGUCACACCGAGCGCAGUAGCACAUCUCGCUCAGGGCGUGCGGCGGGCUCCAGCCGUUAAAGCACCCACCUUUCGCAAGGUUGACCUCGGAUCAGGUAGGAAUACCCGCUGAACUUAAGCAUAUCAAUAAGCGGAGGA